CAACUACUCCCUCCAUUAUGAAUUACUUGUCUUAGAUUUGUCUAGAUACGGAGGUAUCUAGCACUAAAAUAAGUCUAGAUACAUCUGUAUCUAGACAAAUCCAAGACAAGUAAUUCGGAACGGAGGGAGUACUUC
Triticum aestivum (bread wheat) is the source of this 135-nucleotide non-coding RNA. NCBI's taxonomy places the organism in Eukaryota, Viridiplantae, Streptophyta, Magnoliopsida, Poales, Poaceae. The record is from Rfam.